UACAGAGGGGGCAAGCGUUAUUCGGAAUUAUUGGGCGUAAAGGGCGCGUAGGCGGCCUGGCAAGUGGAAGGUGAAAUCCCUCGGCUUAACCGAGGAACUGCCUCCCAAACUGCUUGGCUUGAGACCGGGAGAGGUGAGUGGAAUUCCCAGUGUAGCGGUGAAAUGCGUAGAUAUGCGGAGGAACACCGAUGGCGAAGGCAAUCCCCUGGACCUGUACUGACGCUCAUGCACGAAAGCGUGGGGAGCAAACAGG
RNAcentral lists this ribosomal RNA (253 nucleotides) under uncultured bacterium. RNAcentral describes it as "partial 16S ribosomal RNA". It matches the Rfam family "Bacterial small subunit ribosomal RNA", at positions 524 to 776 of the family's 1533-position model. The record is from RNAcentral.